UUUUUUGUUUGGGUAGGGGAGCGUCGUGCAUGUGUUGAAGCGUUACCGUAAGGAGGCGUGGAGUGUGUGCGAGUGAGAAUGCAGGCAUGAGUAACGAAUUGGAAGGUGAGAAUCCUUCCCGCCGGAUGACUAAGGGUUCCUGGGUCAAGUUCGUCUUCCCAGGGUGAGUCGGGACCUAAGGCGAGGCCGACAGGCGUAGUCGAUGGAUAACCAGUUGAUAUUCUGGUACCCGUAUAUCCGCGCCCAUGAUAAAGCACUGAUACUAACCACCGCGGAUACGAUUGAUGUGUUCUUUGAACACGUUGGUUGUUGAUGUCGUGGGGCCUGAUGUGUGGUUCAAGUGAUGGGGUGACACAGUGUAGUAGCCAUGCCGCUUAGUGGAUUGUUGGUGUAAGCGUGUGAGGUGGUGUGUAGGUAAAUCCGCAUGCUGUUAAACCUGAGGCGUGAUGCGUAGCCCAAGUGUGGGUGAAGUUGGUGAUCUAGUACUGUCGAGAAAAGCCUCUAGCGAUGUGGAUGUAUGGCCCGUACCCUAAACCGACACAGGUGGUCAGGUUGAAAAUACUAAGGCGUUCGGGUGAACUGUGGUUAAGGAACUCGGCAAAAUGCCCCCGUAACUUCGGGAGAAGGGGGACCACACGACUUAAGCACUCUUUGCGAGUGUGGUGGGUUGUGGGGUCGCAGAGAAUAGAGGGAAGCGACUGUUUAUCAAAAACACAGGUCCAUGCGAAGACGUGAAGUUGAUGUAUAUGGACUGACGCCUGCCCGGUGCUGGAAGGUUAAGAGGACCGGUUAGUAGUCUUUUGGCUGCGAAGCUGAGAAUUUAAGCCCCAGUAAACGGCGGUGGUAACUAUAACCAUCCUAAGGUAGCGAAAUUCCUUGUCGGGUAAGUUCCGACCUGCACGAAUGGCGUAACGACUUCUCUGCUGUCUCAACCACAGGCCCGGUGAAAUUGCACUACGAGUAAAGAUGCUCGUUACGCGCGGCAGGACGAAAAGACCCCGGGACCUUCACUAUAGCUUGGUAUUGGUGUUCGGUUCGGUUUGUGUAGGAUAGGUGGGAGACUAUGAAGCGGCCACGCUAGUGGUUGUGGAGUCGUUGUUGAAAUACCACUCUGAUCGGAUUGGAUGUCUAACCUUGGCCCAUGAUCUGGGUUGGGGACAGUGCCUGGUGGGUAGUUUAACUGGGGCGGUUGCCUCCCAAAAUGUAACGGAGGCGCCCAAAGGUUCCCUCAGCCUGGUUGGCAAUCAGGUGGUGAGUGUAAGUGCACAAGGGAGCUUGACUGUGAGACAGACAUGUCGAACAGGGACGAAAGUCGGGACUAGUGAUCCGGCACCUACUUGUGGAUGUGGUGUCGCUCAACGGAUAAAAGGUACCCCGGGGAUAACAGGCUGAUCUUCCCCAAGAGUCCAUAUCGACGGGAUGGUUUGGCACCUCGAUGUCGGCUCGUCGCAUCCUGGGGCUGGAGUAGGUCCCAAGGGUUGGGCUGUUCGCCCAUUAAAGCGGCACGCGAGCUGGGUUCAGAACGUCGUGAGACAGUUCGGUCUCUAUCCGCCGCGCGCGUUGAAACUUGAAGAAGGCUGUCCCUAGUACGAGAGGACCGGGACGGACGUACCUCUAGUGUGCCAGUUGUUCCGCCAGGAGCAUCGCUGGUUGGCUACGUACGGAAGGGAUAACCGCUGAAAGCAUCUAAGCGGGAAGCCUGUUUUAAGAUGAGGUUUCGUAUUUGAGGUCCCCCACAGACGAUGGGGUUGAUAGGCCAGACCUGGACGCACCGCAAGGUGUGAAGGCUACUGGUACUAAUAGACCAAAACAAACACACACA
This 1822-nucleotide ribosomal RNA is filed under the name Corynebacterium sp. HMSC069E04. Its description in RNAcentral is "bacterial LSU rRNA". It matches the Rfam family "Bacterial large subunit ribosomal RNA", at positions 1216 to 2925 of the family's 2925-position model. The record is from RNAcentral. Lineage: Bacteria; Bacillati; Actinomycetota; Actinomycetes; Mycobacteriales; Corynebacteriaceae.